Triticum urartu is the source of this 115-nucleotide non-coding RNA. NCBI's taxonomy places the organism in Eukaryota, Viridiplantae, Streptophyta, Magnoliopsida, Poales, Poaceae. The record is from Rfam.
CAUUUACUCCCUCCGUUCGGAAUUACUUCUCGCAAAAAUAGAUGUAUCUAGACAUAUUUUAGUUCUAGAUACAUCCAUUUCCAAGACAAGUAAUUCCGAACGGAGGGAGUACUUA